GGGGCCGUAGUGUAGCCUGGUUCAGGUAAAACCCGAAGGCAACUAUCACUAAUGGUUUGGGACCAUUGAACCCCGGUUCAAAUCCGGGCGGCCCCA
This 96-nucleotide transfer RNA is filed under the name Candidatus Woesearchaeota archaeon. RNAcentral describes it as "tRNA-Pro". It matches the Rfam family "tRNA". Rfam says of the family: Transfer RNA (tRNA) molecules are approximately 80 nucleotides in length. Their secondary structure includes four short double-helical elements and three loops (D, anti-codon, and T loops). The record is from RNAcentral. Lineage: Archaea; Nanobdellati; Candidatus Woesearchaeota.